RNAcentral lists this small RNA (670 nucleotides) under Pan troglodytes (chimpanzee). RNAcentral describes it as "processed transcript". The record is from RNAcentral. Lineage: Eukaryota; Metazoa; Chordata; Mammalia; Primates; Hominidae.
ACGUGACCAAGAGCCGCCUAGAGCACAAGUCCUGCUAGUCGCCUCCGUCUGGGUACCAGCCCCCUAUUACUCUGCAGGCGUGUGAAGAAAGAAGGAAACUAGCUCGGACCGUGCAGAUUCAUCACAAGAGAGCUACAAGAGCCUGGAAGAAGCUGAAGACUGCUACCCUCCAUCCUUACUCACCCUGGACCUGAGAGACCUCUUCAAUCAGGUGGAGCAAGGCCCUCUCCUGUCCUGCCCCAAGGCUGGCACAGACUUGAGCAUGGGCCGGGCUCGGGAAGUGGGUUGGAUGGCGGCAGGACUGAUGAUUGGGGCUGGUGCCUGCUACUGCGUUUACAAACUGACCAUAGGAAGAGAUGACAGUGAGAAGCUGGAGGAGGAGGGGGAAGAGGAGUGGGACGACGACCAGGAGCUGGAUGAGGAGGAGCCUGAUAUUUGGUUUGAUUUUGAAACUAUGGCUCGGCCCUGGACUGAGGAUGGGGAUUGGACUGAACCUGGGGCCCCAGGUGGCACUGAGGACAGGCCCUCAGGGGGAGGCAAGGCCAACCGAGCACACCCAAUAAAACAGCGGCCAUUCCCCUAUGAACAUAAAAAUACUUGGAGUGCUCAAAAUUGUAAAAAUGGCAGUUGUGUUCUGGACCUCUCCAAGUGUCUUUUCAUUCAGGGAAAA